RNAcentral lists this ribosomal RNA (1138 nucleotides) under Pedipes pedipes. RNAcentral describes it as "16S ribosomal RNA". The stretch from base 785 to 1089 matches the Rfam family "Archaeal large subunit ribosomal RNA", at positions 2151 to 2720 of the family's 2987-position model. Lineage: Eukaryota; Metazoa; Mollusca; Gastropoda; Ellobiida; Ellobiidae. The record is from RNAcentral.
UAGCGUGAGAGACUACUACCACUCCUUAUUUUUUAAUGGGUACUGUUACACAGUAGUGCUUUUGUCUAUUUUAGUUACUAAUUUGAUAGUUUACAAAUAGUUCCGCAAGGAUAAGAAAACAAAAAUAAGAAAUGAGCUUUCCUUUGGCAUAAUGACUGCUCCAGCUACACACUAAACAAGUAAUUCCCGAAAAGAAAAGAUCUACUAAAUACUUAUCUUAGUUAAUAGAGAAAUAAACUGUACUGUGGCACCAGUACUCACAAAAGUGUUAGUAGUGGCGAAACACCAAACGAUUUUCUUGAUAUCUGGAUAGGACCGAAAUGUGUGCAGCACAAAAGACAGCACACCGAUGUUAAGAUCGGUGUGCAUAAGAGCAUUAAGAAUGUCUUAACUUGUUUAUAUAGAAUAGUAUUCAAAAAUAAAAAUAAACAGGCAAAAACUGAUAUUGUGAUGAAUCUUUUCACAUAAGACCUAAUGAUACCUAGUUAUUAGUAACGUGGUUGAUGAGUAGAUAAGUAUUUCUUUUAGUUAAAACACAAUAAAGGAACUCGGCAAACUAAGCCCUCAACUGUUUAUCAAAAACAUAGCCUGUAGAAAUUUAUUUUAGGCGGUCCCUGCCCAGUGAAAUCAUUAAAAUUUUCAACGGCCGCAGUACCUUGACUGUGCAAAGGUAGCGUAAUCAGUUGGCUUUUAAAUGGGGUCUAGAAUGAGUGGGUUAUUGGGGGUAAGCUGUCUCUAUUUGUGUUGUUUAUAACUUCUUCACGGGGUGAAAAUACCCCUAGAAUAUAGAAGGACGAGAAGACCCUAGGAGCCUAAAAUAAAAAAGCUUUUUAACUUUUAUUUUUUUGUUGGGGCGACAAAGGGUCAAAGUACAAACACCCUAAAGUUGAAAUUUAAUGAGACGGUGUUUAAAAGACUAAGAAGGUUACCCUAGGGAUAACAGCUUAAUAAUUUUUUUGUUUGAGACCUCGAUGUUGGACUAGGGACCAAAAGACAAGCAGUCUGUCUGGCAAGUUCUGUUCGAACUACUUAACCCUACAUGAUCUGAGUUCAGACCGGCGUAAGCCAGGUCAGUUUCUAUCCUCUAUAAAUUACCUCUUUAGUACGAAAGGACCGAGAAGGUGGGAAAUUAGUUUCC